UUCGUCUGAGUCUUUCCGAUCCAGCGAAUAAGGGGUUUCCUUGAACCCGCUGGGUACGAGGGUGAGGAAACACUAGUCCACCCCAAAACAUGCCUAGCAUUGGCGGGUUUCGCACUUGCUGUCGGCAUAUCACACACUCGACACAAUUAUCCCUAGGAAAGACCUAAGGGACAAGAAUCCAACCCAAACUAAACAAUAUAUAGGAGUCUACGACAAUAUCAACCAAUACUCGUAGUCCAGCCUAUAUGGCAUAGGACCCGUAGUAUCAACAUCACAACCAGGAGGUCGCCCUAUAUGGCCAAAGAUCCCCUAGACGACAACAUUACCACAAU
This 332-nucleotide long non-coding RNA is filed under the name Brassica napus (rape). RNAcentral describes it as "long non-coding RNA (BNAP_LNC022114)". Lineage: Eukaryota; Viridiplantae; Streptophyta; Magnoliopsida; Brassicales; Brassicaceae. The record is from RNAcentral.